This is a non-coding RNA of Salvia hispanica, 996 nucleotides long. Lineage: Eukaryota; Viridiplantae; Streptophyta; Magnoliopsida; Lamiales; Lamiaceae. The record is from RefSeq and is a predicted model, not a curated record.
GAUUCCAAAUUCCAUAUUCCAUAUAUGAUAAAGGGUAAUGACAUGAAGGAUGAAAAGGAAAACUACUAAAUGACAGAGACAUGGUAAAUUUCAGGCAUACCUUAGCAUCAUGAAAGACAGAUUCUGUGCUGAUAUCUCUAUUGUCAUCCGGAAGACCUCCAAACACACGAACACAAUAGACCUUGAUGACAGAAUUAGUAAUGGCUGUAUGGAGAUUCUUGAGCAAGGUGCUAAGCAUAAACAUUCCAUAAGAUGAAGAAGAGAGGAAGGAAACUAUAAAAAGUUGCUGACAAUGAAGCUGAAACUACUCAAAAAAGGUGGUGAUCAAAACACAAAAAAGAAGAAAUAAAGAAAUGACAGAGACAAAACACAGGGAUACCAAAACAAAUAUAUAAACCCUAAUCUGAGAGGAGCCGCCCUACUUUCUAAGAAGGAAGAGAGAGAGCCAAUGCUAGAACCAAUAAGAAUAGGAUCCAGACAGAGGAGCCACGCCUAUAAGCCUCUUCAUCUCUGCAAAUAGGUGGCUUUGUGAAGGAGAAGGAGAGAGAAAAAUAUAGGCAAUGAUUACAGAGAGAACCAAGAGAGAAGAAGAAGAAGAAACAACUUAUAACAGAUUGCAUAUUGCAAUAUACAUUAAGAGAAGAAGAGGAUGAAGAAUAAUUUCCAAUUAUUGAUGUGUGAAUUUUAAUGGAAGAGAGAUAAGAACAACAAAACAGGUAAAUAAAGCUUUGGAAACAAAUGAAGAACUGAAUCUCAAUCAUUUUAGAAAAGUGGGAUUUAUUUGUUUAAUACAUGAUGUAAAAAAGCAAAAUAUAGUGAACUGCACAAAACCAAUCAAAAUAAAGCUAAAAAUAUGCAAUUAAGCCUAAAAACACAGCAGCAUUGGAACCAUAAAUGAUGGUAAAAAUAUUCACAAAAAAAACCAAGAAAAAUACAAAAUAGCAAAACUGCAGAAACUCAUUUUCCCGCCAAAAUGCUGCCAGGUGGCAGUCAAAA